This 253-nucleotide ribosomal RNA is filed under the name uncultured bacterium. RNAcentral's name for it is "partial 16S ribosomal RNA". It matches the Rfam family "Bacterial small subunit ribosomal RNA", at positions 524 to 776 of the family's 1533-position model. The record is from RNAcentral.
UACGGAGGGUGCAAACGUUGCUCGGAAUCAUUGGGCGUAAAGCGCACGUAGGCGGUCUGUUAAGUCGGAUGUGAAAGCCCUCGGCUCAACCGAGGAAGUGCAUACGAAACUGGCGGACUUGAAUAUGGAAGAGGGUCGCGGAAUUCCCGGUGUAGAGGUGAAAUUCGUAGAUAUCGGGAGGAACACCAGUGGCGAAGGCGGCGACCUGGGCCAAUAUUGACGCCGAGGUGCGAAAGCGUGGGGAGCAAACAGG